Molecule: long non-coding RNA, 2027 nt
Organism: Lolium rigidum
Lineage: Eukaryota; Viridiplantae; Streptophyta; Magnoliopsida; Poales; Poaceae
Exons: 4
Source: RefSeq, a predicted model, not a curated record
UAUUCGUUCGAGCGGACCUUAUGGCGCCAGGACCUAAUCCGCACCGACCGAUCAGUUGGAGAUUCGCGCAUAUAGGCCCACACGAGCGGUGGGUUGACCCCUACUUCCACCAGCAUACGUCUAUGGAAACUAGCAUACGCUCGUUCCGAGAGGACAGAGAGUCGGCGGAUACAUGGCGUACCUGCCGUCCUUGGUGGCUCAGGCGCAAGGACGGCGAAGCCAUGGCGCUGCCUCGGCCCCCCAUCCACUGCCCCCACACUCCCGAUUCAAAUUUGAAUCUCCAGUGCUACCCGUCCCCUUCCUCCUUCCUCGAGCCACCCCCUUCCGGCUCACCGGCCCAAGAACUCCAUAGAUCGCAUGCAGCCUCGCCUGGAAGAUCUGAACAAGCGCCAGGUCUCUCCUAGAUGAUGAUGGGCGGAGACUCUGAGGGAUUUACCGAGCUGCUCAUGAGAUUGUCAAGGCCAAUCCACGAAAUUGCUCCUGUAAGGGAACCAAGCAGCCCGAUUCACUGUUCAGAGACAAGCGCCAGCACCUCUCCGACCAGCGUGAGCUCUGAUUCCAGCGUUCCGGAUCCACGGCAAGCCGAUUUUGGGCAAGCCGAUUUUGGAGAGGACGGAGACUGCAGCGACGAGCCCUUAGCAGACAUACAGAAUGAUGCACCAUUGCCGGCUGACUCGCACUCUCCGACAUCACAAUUGUCCCCUCCAUCAGAGCGCUCCUGGAAGAAGAGGCCUCCAUCAGGUCUGAGCAAAGUUUUGUGAUGGCGACGCGAACGUUUCUCUCACCGAGGCACGGAGGAUGGCUCGUGGUGGUGCUUGCCAUGCUCUCAAGCGCCAGCCUCCCAAGCUGUUGCUGGUGCUUGACUCCCUGCCGGAGCUGCUGCUCCUAAUGCCGUCCACCACUAUGUCCCGCUGCUGCCGAUUAACUUCCAACCUGCUCUUGACAAUGAGAUCCAUCUCCUCCUAUUUGAUAUCCUUCUAAAUUGUGUUUCUUCUUUUAUCAUGCUGAAUGUGUUAGCAGUCGAAAUCAUGCAUAAAACUGAUGUUCAGUCGUGCCAUGGCGUUAAGGUUUGGUCUUGAUGCUAGUAUGUCCAGACAAUUACUUGUAUUAGGCCAUGAAUCUGCUGGAAAAACUCUAGUUUUUGUGUCAUGCAUUUUGGUUGCUGCCUUUUUUCGUGUUCGGAUUUUUACUAGUAGAUAGCUUCAAGUAUGAUGUGAAGGCGUUUGAUUCCUGAGGGUUGAAGUGUGUCCUGGUUGCACAUAUACCUGUGUGUAGUUAGUAGAUGUAUAUGACUCAUUUUUUUGAUUGUUUUAUGUUUAUCAUGCAUAGGCAGUUAUGAAACUUCUACUUUCUUUGAAGCUACUACUUACUAGUAAUUUUAGUUUUCAAUUUUCACCAAGGUUGCAAAGCUAAAAACUGAUUAUGCUUGAAAUGAAUUUCCACACAUGUUUUGUGUUGAUAAUGACAUUUCUGGUACCACAGUGCAUCCUUGUGGAUACAAUCAUGCUUGCUCUUUCGAAAGCAAUGAUCCUCUCAUUGUUAAUUGUCCAGGCGUUCUCUAGUUCUUCUUACAAAACUAAUUCUAGCCAUGAUUGUGUUUUCCAGGUCAAUUACACAACAUGGAGAUGCAGCCGGCAUUUUCCCUGAGCUGCUGUCAAGUGCUCCGGUGGUGGUGUGGUUGUAGAGCCCCGAAGCCGUGGUGAUGGCCAGCGGCGGUUUCACGAGGGUGACUUCCUUCCCUCCACUUGGACGGCUCGUGCAUGGACCAUAUGGAAGGAAGCAUAGAAGAUAUGAGACAUUUUUGGUGAUUCGAGUGAGAAGGAUAUGGCAGGGAACUUAGUCUGAAUUUUAAAAAUGGUGAACAAUAGGAUAUGACAUGUGAUAAGUUGUGGUUUCUCAAAUACUUAGCAUUUAUGACAUGAUUUUGGUGACCCUAUUCAGAACAGGACGUCUACAACGCUCUCUUUUUAGGUGUAAUAUGGAUGUUUGGGUUGAAUUUGAGAUUUCAUUUGAUAUUUUGCUGGUUC